This is a long non-coding RNA of Oncorhynchus keta (chum salmon), 295 nucleotides long. RefSeq lists it as uncharacterized. Lineage: Eukaryota; Metazoa; Chordata; Actinopteri; Salmoniformes; Salmonidae. The transcript is spliced from 3 exons. The record is from RefSeq and is a predicted model, not a curated record.
GGUGUUUAACAUGAUUAUUAAUGACAUCCUCAUCUCUGUACCCCACACGUACAAUUAUCUGUAAGGUCCCUCAUCUCUGUACCCCACACAUACAUAAUUAUCUGUAAGGUCCCUCAUCUCUGUACCCCACACGUACAAUUAUCUGUAAGGUCCCUCAUCUCUGUACCCCACACAUACAAUUAUCUGUAAGGUCCCUCAUCUCUGUACCCCACACGUACAAUUAUCUGUAAGGUCCCUCAUCUCUGUACCCCACACAUACAAUUAUCUGUAAGGUCCCUCAGUAGAGCAGGGAAUU